AUCCUGUGGCCCAGUAGCAGCUAUUAAUACCACCCUCGUCCCAGCUUCUAUUUUAGGGUAGGGGCUGUUGGGGUAGGGGCAAGCAGCAGGGAGCAAGGCAGGGAUUGGGGGCACAGAGACACAGACACAGAACACUGGGUCUGGACUCACUUCCGUGUGAUAAGGCAAUUAUUCAACCUGGACUAUAUUCAGAAGGUUAAUUAAUACAGUUUUGGAUGUAUAUUUUGUUUGAUCCUAUGACACUGGAUAACCUUUUCCAUCAUUUGUUGUUGACACGUCUUGGGAACGUAUUGACAGCAGCUUUCCUUUCUUGAGGAGACGCACACGGAGAUGUACUGUACGUGAAUUCUCCUCAGAUACACAUACUAUACGUGUAUCUUUCUCCCCUAUUUAUGUUAACAGAAGGGAUUAUGGCGAAACAACCUCCAUCCCCUACCACUCCAGUAUUUUUUACCCGGAUCAGUGAUCGGGACCUGACUGAGAUCGAGCUACAUUCCGUGGAGUCCAUCAACGACCUGCACCGCACCCAUCCAGAGCACAACCACAAAGGCAGCAGACGACCUCCCCUUCCUCCUGCUCCCUCCACCAAUGGGAACCUCCAUCUCCGGGACAGACCAGUUGUCUAUCAGACAGGGCAUCCAAUGAGAAGCCGAUGGCAGAGAAUGCUCCGAGACCUGUUGAUGCCCACCUCGUUUCGAUACACCAUGGGGUGUGUAGUGACAUCACUGACGCUGUUGACGCUAUUUCUUAUCUUCUAUCUCUUAGUGCAGCAGGGCAGCACUCUCCGGUCCCUAACGGAAGCAGUGAGGGAGAGACAGGCUGUGGCCCUAGAGGUCUCCCAGCUCAUCCAGGAGCUGCAGGCGCUGCGCCACAACCUCACAGCCAUCACGGGAGGAUCCUGA
Molecule: long non-coding RNA, 902 nt
Filed under: Oncorhynchus kisutch (coho salmon)
Lineage: Eukaryota; Metazoa; Chordata; Actinopteri; Salmoniformes; Salmonidae
Description: lncRNA (ENSOKIG00005049515.1)
Source: RNAcentral